Molecule: ribosomal RNA, 235 nt
Filed under: uncultured eukaryote
Lineage: Eukaryota
Description: partial 16S ribosomal DNA
Rfam family: Bacterial small subunit ribosomal RNA
Source: RNAcentral
ACGGGAGAUGCAAGCGUUAUCCGGAAUCACUGGGCGUAAAGCGUCUGUAGGUGGUUAACUAAGUCUGUUGUUAAAAACUGAAGCUUAACUUCAGGGGUGCGACAGAAACUGGUAAACUUGAGUAUGGUAGGGGUAGGAGGAAUUUCUAGUGUAGCGGUGAAAUGCGUAGAUAUUAGGAAGAACACCAUUAGCGAAGGCGUCCUACUGGGCCAUAACUGACACUGAGAGACGAAAG